Long non-coding RNA from Syngnathoides biaculeatus (alligator pipefish), 584 nucleotides. RefSeq lists it as uncharacterized. Lineage: Eukaryota; Metazoa; Chordata; Actinopteri; Syngnathiformes; Syngnathidae. The record is from RefSeq and is a predicted model, not a curated record. The transcript is spliced from 3 exons.
UUUAAACAAUGCCAUGCUUUUUCCCUUGUGGGUUUAUCAGGACACUCUUGCAGCCUUGAAGAAAGCUGUACCUUAGUGUUUAUGUGCUGUUGGUGUAGCCAUCUAUGUCAGCAUUUUCACUGUAUUACCAUGUAACCCUUUGACGUGAGAAUGCAAUAAAAAAGAGCAGACAGGGACUACCACUUUGGCAGUCUGAGGAAGCGCACUCACACAGUGUGUCCUCCGUCUGUCCCUUGCAAGAAAAACAAUCUUGCGGAUGAUCGACGAUGACUGAAAUCGGUGCACCGUCCGAGUCUCCAGGAGACCCGGAAAGUCCUCCUUUCCAUGAGGCCAGCCCUCGGACAUCCUCCGCCAGGAGAACACAAAUGUCAUCCUAUGAAUUGCAUGUGUCUCAACCAAUGGAGAUUGUCACAGGUCCCGGGGGACAACUAGUCCUCCGCCAGAUCGUUGAUUCCCAUGCCUCGUUCCCGCAAUCCUGUAUACCUGAUCUACAGUGUACCGACCCUCGCCUGGUCCCUGACCAUCCUAGUAAGCCUGCCUCUUCUGAUACUGCUGCUUUUCCUGACUGACUCGCUGAUCAUUGA